Molecule: ribosomal RNA, 592 nt
Filed under: uncultured bacterium
Lineage: Bacteria
Description: bacterial SSU rRNA
Rfam family: Bacterial small subunit ribosomal RNA
Source: RNAcentral
GCCCUUAGAGUUUGAUCCUGGCUCAGAUUGAACGCUGGCGGCAUGCCUUACACAUGCAAGUCGAACGGUAACAGGUCUUCGGAUGCUGACGAGUGGCGAACGGGUGAGUAAUACAUCGGAACGUGCCCGAUCGUGGGGGAUAACGAGGCGAAAGCUUUGCUAAUACCGCAUACGAUCUACGGAUGAAAGCGGGGGAUCUUCGGACCUCGCGCGGACGGAGCGGCCGAUGGCAGAUUAGGUAGUUGGUGGGAUAAAAGCUUACCAAGCCGACGAUCUGUAGCUGGUCUGAGAGGAUGAUCAGCCACACUGGGACUGAGACACGGCCCAGACUCCUACGGGAGGCAGCAGUGGGGAAUUUUGGACAAUGGGCGAAAGCCUGAUCCAGCCAUGCCGCGUGCAGGAUGAAGGCCUUCGGGUUGUAAACUGCUUUUGUACGGAACGAAAAGCCUCUUUCUAAUAAAGAGGGGUCAUGACGGUACCGUAAGAAUAAGCACCGGCUAACUACGUGCCAGCAGCCGCGGUAAUACGUAGGAUGCAAGCGUUAAUCGGAAUUACUGGGCGUAAAGCGUGCGCAGGCGGUUUUGUAAGACAG